RNAcentral lists this ribosomal RNA (674 nucleotides) under uncultured bacterium. RNAcentral's name for it is "bacterial SSU rRNA". It matches the Rfam family "Bacterial small subunit ribosomal RNA", at positions 99 to 795 of the family's 1533-position model. The record is from RNAcentral.
CGGACGGGUGAGUAACGCGUGAGAAUCUGCCUUCAGGACGGAGACAACAGUUGGAAACGACUGCUAAGCCCCGAUGAACCGAAAGGGAAAAUAUUUAUAGCCUGAAGAUGAGCUCGCGUCCGAUUAGCUAGUUGGCGGAGUAAAAGCCCACCAAGGCGACGAUCGGUAGCUGGUCUGAGAGGACGAUCAGCCACACUGGGACUGAGACACGGCCCAGGCUCCUACGGGAGGCAGCAGUGGGGAAUUUUCCGCAAUGGGCGAAAGCCUGACGGAGCAAGACCGCGUGGGGGAAGAAGGCUCUUGGGUUGUAAACCCCUUUUCUCUGGGAAGAAAGUUGUGAAAGCAACCUGACGGUACCAGAGGAAUCAGCAUCGGCUAACUCCGUGCCAGCAGCCGCGGUAAGACGGAGGAUGCAAGCGUUAUCCGGAAUGAUUGGGCGUAAAGCGUCCGCAGGUGGCAGUUCAAGUCUGCUGUCAAAGACCGGGGCUUAACUUCGGAAAGGCAGUGGAAACUGAACAGCUAGAGUAUGGUAGGGGCAGAGGGAAUUCCUGGUGUAGCGGUGAAAUGCGUAGAGAUCAGGAAGAACAUCGGUGGCGAAGGCGCUCUGCUGGACCAUAACUGACACUCAGGGACGAAAGCUAGGGGAGCGAAUGGGAUUAGAUACCCCAGUAGUC